UUCAAACUUAUAAACCAAAACAUAAUUUUCUGAAACCAUGCGAUCCUUCAACCUGCACUCGCUAUUCAAUCAUCGUCUUCUUCCUCCGAGAAAUCAGCGGCUCUACCGGAAGAUUUUAACGCCGGUUCUUCACCUUGCUCUUCUUCAUCUUCAUCAUCAUCAUCUUCGUCUUCAAUUGUUUGUGGUGCUACACCUCUAUGGUCCUCUUCAUCAUCGUCUAUUUCCUCCUCUUUUUCUAAUUCCUCAGGCAAAAUAACGUCUUCCGGCUCCGCAUCAUCUUCAUCAUAGGGUGAUUCGAUGUUAUGUGGUGCAGGAGCUUUUUCUGAUUCUUCAAUGGUGGGAGAUCCGAGUGUUGUUUCUUCCGAAAGUUUGGUGAACUCUUCUACCUGUGCAGCAUCAACCUAGGUAUUUCCAUUACAUAAAAAUCAAAUUGCGAUAUCAUUAAUUGAUUUCACGUAUUAGAAUGAUGUUCUUUUGACAUUUGAUCUACGUAUCAUAAUAAAGGAGCAUGCAAUCAGGAAUUGUUAUACAAUUUUUCACAAAAAUCACCUGUGAAUUAUCGCAUGAACAAAUAUUUGACUUAGAACGACGAACAACUAUUGUAUAUAGUAUUUUCCGGAUCUAAUUAUGCUAACAUAACGUUAAAAUUCAAUCAUUUUUAUCAUGAGAGGAGGAAAUUAACGAGAUGUAUAUUAUUUUAAACAUAUUUAAUUGGUUAUAAUGUAAACAACUAACAGAUACAAGAAGGAAGACAUGUCUGCAACACUUAAGAGGGAGAAAAACCUGAGCAGCGGCCAUGAAGCUACUGAGAUGAUGAAUUAGUGAAGCACAAGUAGAGGGACUGAACAAGACUAGUACAGUUUGCAAUGAUAGUAUUUGGUAGAGAAUGAUGGCAUAUUAAUAAGCAAAAAGGCAUGGUAUGGUAUGGUAUGGUGUGGGUGUAGGGUGGGUGGGUAGGAAGAA
RNAcentral lists this long non-coding RNA (963 nucleotides) under Lactuca sativa (garden lettuce). RNAcentral describes it as "long non-coding RNA (LSAT_LNC008401)". Lineage: Eukaryota; Viridiplantae; Streptophyta; Magnoliopsida; Asterales; Asteraceae. The record is from RNAcentral.